UGCAAUGCUUCAAACAGAAAAGCCAAUUAUUGUGGACUUAAUAAUGAAGUCAAUAGAGCACAAAAUAUCUUGCAAAAACGUAUGUAAUAAAUUCAUAGCCCAUAGACCAAAUUCAUAAAGUAAUUGUGACAUUUCUCAUUUCUAGUUACUCUCUUGCGUGAAUCCAAAAGUGACAUUUACGUCAAGCUCAAGUAGAGUAAGACUAAAUGGAGUAGCAGUGGCACUGAAAUGGUUUUUUGCCUUGCUAAAAGAUCACGGAGUUCUGUUUCCGAAUGAAGAAAGAGUGAGACAAGAAAUUAAGUCUCUCGACAUUGGGGUGGUCAAUGGGCGAAGCCAGUAUUUCAAUGCAAAUGCAAAUGGUGAAAAGAUCAGCAGAGGCUCAGAUGGAGUAGAAACUUCUUCCAGAAACUGCGUAAUUAUACAACAAUCUGCAUUUGGAAGAUAGAAUUGGAUUGUUUUUUUGGAAGCCUUCAACAUCUUAGAUACAAAUAUCGCAAGAGACAGCUUGGGGUCCACCGCCGAAACCAGCAUAAAUUAUUCAAACACAGCGUCUACAACUGAAAUGGAAAUUGUUAAACGCAGCAGACCGUCAACAUCUGGAACCAGAAGAUACAAAUCAAACACACCGUCCACAUCCGACAAUCAAAUUGGAAGAGCAAACACAUCACGUGACGUAAAUGCAAACACCACGCAAAACUAAAAUACAUCUUGAACGAUAACUUCUAUAGUUUUGUCCCAUGACUGGCUGAAGCCAAAAAUACAUCUAAAUUUUGUCAAGCUCCCCCCU
Long non-coding RNA from Xenia sp. Carnegie-2017, 787 nucleotides. RefSeq lists it as uncharacterized. The transcript is spliced from 2 exons. The record is from RefSeq and is a predicted model, not a curated record. NCBI's taxonomy places the organism in Eukaryota, Metazoa, Cnidaria, Anthozoa, Malacalcyonacea, Xeniidae.